CUCUUCCCAGGUCUCAACCCCCCCUUCUCUUUUUUCCCUUCAAAACCCGUCUCCUUUUUCUCUUUUUCCAUUCUCAGCUGGCGUACAUGGAAGCCACCAUCGGCGGCGCCGCCUUCUUCUUGACCAGCAGGUCGGCCUUUCCUCCGGCCGCCGCCGCCACCGAGGAGAUGCGGACGCUCUGCGUGGCCGGGAGGCGGCAAGGGGGGAGGGUCAGCUGGGCUCGGAGGGGAGCGGUGAUGGUGGCGGCGGCGCUGGAGAAGGGCAACGGAAACGGGGGGAAGAAGGCUGGCGGUGCGGUGCCCAACUCCAACUACGUCGUGCCUCUCGAUAAGGCGUCCUGCCUCACCCGCCCGCUUGCCGAGAUCCUCCGGGACCUCAACAAGCGAGUCCCCGA
This 394-nucleotide long non-coding RNA is filed under the name Elaeis guineensis (African oil palm). RNAcentral's name for it is "long non-coding RNA (EGUI_LNC055371)". The record is from RNAcentral. Lineage: Eukaryota; Viridiplantae; Streptophyta; Magnoliopsida; Arecales; Arecaceae.